This is a long non-coding RNA of Antechinus flavipes (yellow-footed antechinus), 222 nucleotides long. RefSeq lists it as uncharacterized. The record is from RefSeq and is a predicted model, not a curated record. NCBI's taxonomy places the organism in Eukaryota, Metazoa, Chordata, Mammalia, Dasyuromorphia, Dasyuridae. The transcript is spliced from 3 exons.
AGGACUUCAAGUGCCUCCCAAACAUAUCUCAUUCAUCCCCAGGGCAUUUCUCUGGGAAGAUGAGGAAACUAAGUAUGAGAGAAAUUAAAUGACUAGUCUGAUAUCACACAGCUGCUUUCAGGUAGACUCUGAUUGGGACCAACCCUACUUCAUAUUGUUGAAGAGAAAAUAAGACUCACGAAGAAACCCAUUAUAUCAGCAGAGCUGGUCGUCUGAAGCAGG